UAGAGUUUGAUCCCUUAUCAGGACGAAACGCUGGCGGCGUGCCUAAUACAUGCAAGUCGAGCGGACCGAUGGGAGCUUGCUCCCUGAAUUCAGCGGCGGACGGGUGAGUAACACGUGGGCAACCUUCCUGUAAGACUGGGAUAAUUCCGGGAAACCGGGGCUAAUACCGGAUAAUUCUUUUCCUCUCAUGAGGAAAAGCUCAAAGAUGGUUUCGGCUAUCACUUCCAGAUGGGCCCGCGGCGCAUUAGCUAGUUGGUGAGGUAACGGCUCACCAAGGCCACGAUGCGUAGCCGACCUGAGAGGGUGAUCGGCCACACUGGGACUGAGACACGGCCCAGACUCCUACGGGAGGCAGCAGUAGGGAAUCUUCCGCAAUGGACGAAAGUCUGACGGAGCAACGCCGCGUGAGUGAUGAAGGUUUUCGGAUCGUAAAACUCUGUUGUCAGGGAAGAACAAGUACCGGAGUAACUGCCGGUACCUGAC
RNAcentral lists this ribosomal RNA (483 nucleotides) under Bacillus sp. KB57. RNAcentral describes it as "bacterial SSU rRNA". It matches the Rfam family "Bacterial small subunit ribosomal RNA", at positions 1 to 483 of the family's 1533-position model. The record is from RNAcentral. Lineage: Bacteria; Bacillati; Bacillota; Bacilli; Caryophanales; Bacillaceae.